Molecule: ribosomal RNA, 204 nt
Filed under: uncultured bacterium
Lineage: Bacteria
Description: partial 16S ribosomal RNA
Rfam family: Bacterial small subunit ribosomal RNA
Source: RNAcentral
UAGGCGUGCAACUCGCCUACACGAAGCUGGAAUCGCUAGUAAUCGCGGAUCAGCACGCCGCGGUGAAUACGUUCCCGGGCCUUGUACACACCGCCCGUCACACCAUGAGAGUCUGUAACACCCAAAGCCGGUGGGAUAACCUUUAUAGGAGUCAGCCGUCUAAAGGUAGGACAGAUGAUUAGGGUGAAGUCGUAACAAGGUAGC